GAAAAUUGGGUGGUUAUGUUCAAUUCAAUAAUUACAGCCACAAUAAGUAAAGUUUUAAAAAAUUGCUAUAAAAAAGGUAAAUAAGAAAAAGAGUCGCAAUAAAAAGACAUUUCGGUGACGGAGUUAAAUUUUACCGGGAAUCUGCCGACGGGACUAAAGAGGCUAUGGACGCCGUGAGUGUAAGUAGUUAUUUCGAUUCAGUAAUGCGACUUUUGCAUAAAAUCGAGCUUCUUUGCUCUUUCAUUCGAGAAAUUUUACAGUUUUUUUGUUUGAUUUACAGGAUACGUUGGCUGGUUUGGGAACAUGUUUGCUUCCAUGUAUUGUACGGAUUGUGAAGAUUGAGAAUUCAAGCUGUUAAUGAUGGUAAUUGUUCAAAUCCCAUACAUUAUCUUAUCUGGUUGAUGCAGUUUGUUUCCAAAACUGGUUUUUGCUUUGUUGGCUGUUUCACUAUCUUAGUUAAGCUUCAGGACAAUUCGUUUUAAUAGAGUUUGAAUAACUGUCUUUUACUCUUAAAAUUCAGACUCAGGGUUAGUUUGAUAAUGUUUCAAAUUCUUAUCUAAAAGUUUGCAAGAGUUUGAGUUUGACACCAAGUGACUAGUUUGAUUUCUUCCCCACAACUACUUUGCUUGGAAUUUAUGUGAGAUUUGAUAAACUUGUAUCCAAUAAUUAUACUACUUCUGAUCUUUCUACCAGAACUCUUGUCACUUUACUUUGUCAAUCAAUUAAGAUUGGUAAUGUGAGAUAUAGUUGGACAGGUUACGACACCUUUUUAGACAAAAGGACUAGACUAGACUAGUAAAAGUAGUAGAGUUAGUGCAUGAUGAAACAAGGUUAAUUUGUUGUGGUGUGGUCCAGAAGGUUCCUUCUCUAAGGAUCAAACUAGUAACUCUAUUAUGGAUUUAUUGAUGAAGGUAAGACCCUGCCUAUGUUCUCUUUGGUGCUUUUGUUAUUGGACGUGGUGCUGCUCUUACUCAGCCUUUACUAAAAAAAAUUAAUAUCUAUUUCUAGUCUUUUUGUUGACCUGAAAUAAGUUCUCAAAAUAUUAUUAUCCUGCUUUUUCUUCCAAUACUUGUUAUCUUUUUUCGGUUGAGUCUUUGCCCUUGAUGUUUUGAUCCAUUAUCAAACCUUUCUCUUAGAUGAGAAACUAAUAUGAAUCUGACUCGGAUAGAAGAAAAUUCCUGGAAUUUAGCUUGAGUACUUUAGCAUCAUUCUUGGAGAAUAAUGAUACACUUAUAUGAUAACAAAGUAUGCUUUUAUGUGAUAUAUACAAUGCAGUUUACUUGCAGGGAUUUUGCUCAUAUUGUUAUGUGAUAAUCUAGUGAUAUUAAGCCAUAGAUUAUAAACAAGAUGCAUGCAACCUAGGUCCGCAUAAUCCAACAUGGGAAUAGCCGAGUCGAAUUGUAUGAUUUGGGUGAGAGUCAUUAACACCAUCUUCAGAAAUUGUUCUUCCUGAGUGUAUCAAUGAAUCUUUGUUGUGUGAUAUCAUUGCUGGAGAUAUAUUCAAGAAAAUCGUUGAAGCUGAAUUCUCCAUAGGCAGCUGAUUUCUUUUCAUUGACGAGCUGAGGUGCUGGACUUAUUUUUUUGUGCAGAGGUAGACUGUGAAGACUUGCAAAAGAUAGCCGCUUGAAAUCUUUGUUCACUGUUACACGAUGAACCACACUCUUGUAUAUGCCAUUGCUCAUGACUUC
This 1688-nucleotide long non-coding RNA is filed under the name Capsella grandiflora. RNAcentral describes it as "long non-coding RNA (CGRA_LNC001105)". Lineage: Eukaryota; Viridiplantae; Streptophyta; Magnoliopsida; Brassicales; Brassicaceae. The record is from RNAcentral.